Molecule: non-coding RNA, 1019 nt
Organism: Doryrhamphus excisus (bluestripe pipefish)
Lineage: Eukaryota; Metazoa; Chordata; Actinopteri; Syngnathiformes; Syngnathidae
Source: RefSeq, a predicted model, not a curated record
GAUGCGGCCCAGUCUCACCCAGACCCGAGCUCCAGUGGCCCCCAAGUAAAUUGAGUUUGAGACCCCUGCUGUAAAAGAUUGUAAUAAUAUUACACCAUUUGAGAUCCUUCUUUUGAUGUGAUUAAUUAUAUUAUUCAGCAAACAAUAUAUAUAUUUUUAAAUUUAAUUUAUAUAUGUCCAUGUGUCCCUUAAAAAUUAUGAAAUGUUGCUUUGGUACAGGACUUUCUUCUUCCAAGCAAUCUAAAGACCGUCAACAAACCAUCGCAACUCCAGCCUUCACCCCCCGUGUUUGUUGGCCACCAGUCCUUACCCCCCGUCAGACCUUUGUCAUCCUAUCGUCCAAUCCGGACUUGCCCUGUCAACACCGGAGGGCCAAGAAACUCCCAACACAUGCCGGCCAUACACCCACCCGCAGUGCGAGGCCUGACCCGACACUCACCACGCAAGUACGAAGCCUUCCAUCAACUGAAAAGAUCCGACAUUAACACUCCAGCUAAGCAAAUAUCACAACGCAGAAGCGGGUGCUACAGCUGCUUCCAUGUGGUGAAGCCCUCCCACGCUGAUCAUUACAUCAUACACCCCCAGUUUGUCUCUGAAUGCCAACGUUAGGACAAUACGGACAGCUGCAACCCGAGUCGUCAUUCAUCAAUUCUUAACCCACUGAAGAUAAACCACGAUAACAUACGAUAACAGUGUAAUACUGUAGGUGAUGUUAAAGUACUGUAUCAUCACCUGCUUUUUAAGAAACAGCUUCCCAUUUCAAAUUUGUCACCAUUUUUAUUUGUAUGUCUAAAUGCAAAAUGGAAAAAAGGUGAAAUAGAUGGGGGUACCAAAGCUGAUGUCUUCAAUGUUUUUCUUUUCUGAGCUUCUCAUGUCUGCAUCUACGGACAGAAAGAAUAAAGAUUAUUAGUACUAUUCUUACUCCCACGUUCAACCAAUUAACAUUUACUUGAAUUUGAUCUCCCUUUUUUGGUGUCGCUGUCAAAUUUGUAAACACACACCUUCCCAAAAAGAAUAGC